Molecule: long non-coding RNA, 621 nt
Organism: Helianthus annuus (common sunflower)
Lineage: Eukaryota; Viridiplantae; Streptophyta; Magnoliopsida; Asterales; Asteraceae
Exons: 3
Source: RefSeq, a predicted model, not a curated record
GUCGGUGUUAAAUUAUUUUUAAUACUCAAUUGGUAUAAUAUCAUUUGCAGGUGAAGUGAAAUUAUUUCGAAGGUUUAAAUGAUUUCUUGGGCUUGGUUCCUAUUGGUGCUUGGUACGGGAAUGGAAGGAAUGCUGGAUGGUACAAUCCAUUUCUAAUGGCUUGCUAUGAUCCCGACACUGAUGAAUAUCAAAGUGUCUGUCGUGUAAUGUCCGGCUUCUCUGAUGCGUUCUGUAUAGAGGUUCUCUGUCUCCACUCUGAAAACCCUAGCUCCGCACCAUAUUCUUCAAAAAUGAGGGUGGGAUGCGACAUAGAUGAUGAGAAUCCGAGUCUAGAUUCGACUUGCUAGAAUAUUUUGUGCAGUUGCGUGUUUCAAAAACGAAGAUGAAGGAGCGGAGGUGAAAGAGAACACAAACAAGAUUUUAGCCGUCUUUUUUGCUGAAUUUGGUAUCACAAGUGAUGCAGCAUUGAAGGUCGGUACGUUCGAGUUGGGUCGCGUCGGGUCAUUUGUUUAUUAAAUGUAUCCCGUGUGGGAAUUGAGUUUGGUUAGGAUGAUAAGUAGUGGAGUUCUGUUUUUCUUUAAUUUCUUGAUCACUCAAAUGAAGCUGGUUAAAUUUUUCGCA